AGAGUUUGAUCCUGGCUCAGGAUCAACGCUGGCGGCGUGCCUAAAACAUGCAAGUCGGACGCUCCGCUUCGGCGGAGAGUGGCGGACGGCUGAGUAGCACGUGGGCGACCUGCCCCUUGGUGGGGGAUAACCGCCCGAAAGGGUGGCUAAGACCGCAUGAGCUCCCGGAUUCGGUUCCGGGAGGAAAGCUCGCAAGAGCGCCGAGGGAGGGGCCCGCGGCCGAUUAGCUUGUUGGUGGGGUAGCGGCCUACCAAGGCGACGAUCGGUAGCCGGUCUGAGAGGAUGGCCGGCCAGACUGGGACUGAGACACGGCCCAGACUCCUGCGGGAGGCAGCAGUUAGGAAUUUUGGGCAAUGGGCGCAAGCCUGACCCAGCAACGCCGCGUGGGCGAUGAAGCCCUUCGGGGUGUAAAGCCCUUUUCGGUGGGACGAAUCUGACGGUACCGCCGGAAGAAGCCCCGGCUAACUACGUGCCAGCAGCCGCGGUAAUACGUAGGGGGCAAGCGUUGUCCGGAUUCAUUGGGCGUAAAGCGCGCGCAGGCGGCUUGGAGAGCCCGGCGUGAAAGCCCCCGGCUUAACCGGGGGAGGCCGUCGGGGACCUUCAGGCUGGAGGCCGGUAGGGGAGAGCGGAAUUCCCGGUGUAGUGGUGGAAUGCGUAGAGAUCGGGAGGAACACCAGUGGCGAAGGCGGCUCUCUGGACCGGUCCUGACGCUCAGGCGCGAAAGCGUGGGGAGCGAUCCGGAUUAGAUACCCCGGUAGUCC
This 761-nucleotide ribosomal RNA is filed under the name uncultured bacterium. RNAcentral's name for it is "bacterial SSU rRNA". It matches the Rfam family "Bacterial small subunit ribosomal RNA", at positions 8 to 796 of the family's 1533-position model. The record is from RNAcentral.